Lethenteron reissneri (Far Eastern brook lamprey) is the source of this 331-nucleotide long non-coding RNA. RefSeq lists it as uncharacterized. The record is from RefSeq and is a predicted model, not a curated record. NCBI's taxonomy places the organism in Eukaryota, Metazoa, Chordata, Hyperoartia, Petromyzontiformes, Petromyzontidae.
CCACGGAGCAGCCGAGGACUCGGAGGGGGCACGGCCAGUCCACCACCACACACCCGUUACAAACGCAACCUUUCAACGAAAUUAUCUCAAUCAUCAGCCAUCUAACUGCAUAUGGAUUCACACUUCAUUAGCCCGUCCCAAGAGGCAACCCUCAAUGGAUUAGCAAAAGGGAAAAAAAAUCCAAACCAUCACUCCGCUCUCCUCGACGACCAGCCACAGCACCGCCCCAGCUGCUGGGCGCCACGGUGGCGAGAUGUGAACUACCUCGUCUCGUGUGCAGGAAGUCGUCGGUUCGAGCCCGACCCUUGACACGUGCUGUAUAAAGAGUUUC